This 273-nucleotide ribosomal RNA is filed under the name uncultured bacterium. RNAcentral describes it as "partial 16S ribosomal RNA". It matches the Rfam family "Bacterial small subunit ribosomal RNA", at positions 523 to 796 of the family's 1533-position model. The record is from RNAcentral.
AUACGGAGGGUGCAAGCGUUGUUCGGAAUUACUGGGCGUAAAGCGCGCGUAGGCGGUCUGUUAUGUCAGAUGUGAAAGUCCUCGGCUCAACCGGGGAAGUGCAUUUGAAACUGGCAGACUUGAGUACUGGAGGGGGUGGUGGAAUUCCCGGUGUAGAGGUGAAAUUCGUAGAUAUCGGAGGAAUACCGGUGGCGAAGGCGACCACCUGGCCAGAUACUGACGCUGAGGUGCGAAAGCGUGGGGAGCAAACAGGAUUAGAAACCCUAGUAGUCC